This 467-nucleotide ribosomal RNA is filed under the name uncultured bacterium. Its description in RNAcentral is "partial 16S ribosomal RNA". It matches the Rfam family "Bacterial small subunit ribosomal RNA", at positions 28 to 506 of the family's 1533-position model. The record is from RNAcentral.
GACGAACGCUGGCGGCGUGCUUAACACAUGCAAGUCGAACGGAAAGGCCCUGCUUUUGUGGGGUGCUCGAGUGGCGAACGGGUGAGUAACACGUGAGUAACCUGCCCUUGACUUUGGGAUAACUUCAGGAAACUGGGGCUAAUACCGGAUAGGAGCUCCUGCUGCAUGGUGGGGGUUGGAAAGUUUCGGCGGUUGGGGAUGGACUCGCGGCUUAUCAGCUUGUUGGUGGGGUAGUGGCUUACCAAGGCUUUGACGGGUAGCCGGCCUGAGAGGGUGACCGGCCACAUUGGGACUGGGAUACGGCCCAGACUCCUACGGGAGGCAGCAGUGGGGAAUAUUGCACAAUGUGCGGAAGCCUGAUGCAGCAACGCCGCGUGCGGGAUGACGGCCUUCGGGUUGUAAACCGCUUUCGCCUGUGACGAAGCGUGAGUGACGGUAAUGGGUAAAGAAGCACCGGCUAACUACGU